AACGAACGCUGGCGGCAUGCCUAACACAUGCAAGUCGAACGAGACCUUCGGGUCUAGUGGCGCACGGGUGCGUAACGCGUGGGAACCUGCCCUUAGGUUCGGAAUAACUCCCCGAAAGGGGUGCUAAUACCGGAUAAUGUCUUCGGACCAAAGAUUUAUCGCCUUUGGAUGGGCCCGCGUUGGAUUAGCUAGUUGGUAGGGUAGAAGCCUACCAAGGCGACGAUCCAUAGCUGGUCUGAGAGGAUGAUCAGCCACACUGGGACUGAGACACGGCCCAGACUCCUACGGGAAGCAGCAGUGGGGAAUAUUGGACAAUGGGCGAAAGCCUGAUCCAGCAAUGCCGCGUGAGUGAUGAAGGCCUUAGGGUUGUAAAGCUCUUUUACCCGGGAUGAUAAUGACAGUACCGGGAGAAUAAGCUCCGGCUAACUCCGUG
RNAcentral lists this ribosomal RNA (433 nucleotides) under uncultured bacterium. RNAcentral's name for it is "partial 16S ribosomal RNA". It matches the Rfam family "Bacterial small subunit ribosomal RNA", at positions 29 to 507 of the family's 1533-position model. The record is from RNAcentral.